CGCGCGGGUAGGGCGGGGAGGGUCGCCGCCUCCCACGGGCCGGAGAGCCCGUCCCGAAGGCGCCAGGCGGGCGCCAGUAACCCCGGCCCGCCGGGCAAACGGGCCCCACGAGGGUCUCCAGCAACGCCGAUGAACCCCGUCCCGCGGGGCCUGCGGUGCCUGGAGCCUCCGCCGGAGGGCGGGGUGCUACCGGCUUAACCGGGGAAACCUGGCCAGGCCCGGAAGGGAGCAACCUAUCCCCGGCCGUAGGCGUUCGCGGGGGCGCGGGGGGAGGCGUCUGGAGGGUGCCCCGUGGGGCCCGCCCCGGCGGUGACCGGGGGGCCGCGCG
This 328-nucleotide signal recognition particle RNA is filed under the name Desulfurococcales archaeon. Its description in RNAcentral is "signal recognition particle sRNA". The stretch from base 104 to 297 matches the Rfam family "Archaeal signal recognition particle RNA", at positions 89 to 286 of the family's 317-position model. Lineage: Archaea; Thermoproteati; Thermoproteota; Thermoprotei; Desulfurococcales. The record is from RNAcentral.